This 468-nucleotide ribosomal RNA is filed under the name uncultured bacterium. Its description in RNAcentral is "partial 16S ribosomal RNA". It matches the Rfam family "Bacterial small subunit ribosomal RNA", at positions 28 to 507 of the family's 1533-position model. The record is from RNAcentral.
GACGAACGCUGGCGGCGUGCUUAACACAUGCAAGUCGAACGGAAAGGCCCUGCUUUUGUGGGGUGCUCGAGUGGCGAACGGGUGAGUAACACGUGAGUAACCUGCCCUUGACUUUGGGAUAACUUCAGGAAACUGGGGCUAAUACCGGAUAGGAGCUCCUGCUGCAUGUUGGGGGUUGGAAAGUUUCGGCGGUUGGGGAUGUACUCGCGGCUUAUCAGCUUGUUGGUCGGGUAGUGGAUUACCAAGGCUUUGACGGGUAGCCGGCCUGAGAGGGUGACCGGCCACAAUGGGACUGAGAGACGGACCAGACUGCUACGGGAGGCAGCAGGGGGGAAUAUUGCACAAUGGGCGGAAGCCUGAUGCAGCAACGCCGCGUGCGGGAUGACGGCCUUCGGGUUGUAAACCGCUUUCGCCUGUGACGAAGCGUGAGUGACGGUAAUGGGUAAAGAAGCACCGGCUAACUACGUG